This 461-nucleotide ribosomal RNA is filed under the name Acinetobacter sp. RNAcentral describes it as "bacterial SSU rRNA". It matches the Rfam family "Bacterial small subunit ribosomal RNA", at positions 139 to 587 of the family's 1533-position model. The record is from RNAcentral. Lineage: Bacteria; Pseudomonadati; Pseudomonadota; Gammaproteobacteria; Moraxellales; Moraxellaceae.
GGGGACAACGUUUCGAACGGGACGCUAAGACCGCAUACGUCCUACGGGAGAAAGCAAGGGGUCUGUAUGACCUUGCGCUAAUAUAUGAGCCUAACUCAGAUUAGCUAGUUGGUGGGGUAAAGGCCUAGCUCCGGAACGAUCUGUAGCGGGUCUGAUUGGAUGAUCCGCCACACUGGGACUGACACACGGCCCAGACUCCUACGGGAGGCAGCAGUGGGGAAUAUUGGACAAUGGGGGGAACCCUGAUCCAUCCAUGCCGCGUGUGUGAAUAAUGCAUUUUUGUUGUAAAGCACUUUAAGCGAGGAGGAGGCUCUUUAUGUUAAUACCCUGAAUGAGUGGACGUUACUCUCAGAAUAAGCACCGGCUAAUUCUGUGCCAGCAGCCGCGGGUAAUACAGAGGGGGGCGAGCGUUUAUUCGGCUUUUACUGGGGCGUAAAGCGUGGCGUAGGCGGCCCGAUUUA